UAUUAUAUUUAGCCGGCCCAUCGCUGUAAGACCUCAGUACACACCCGUUUCCUCCCGAAAUAUCUAGAUCCCCAAAUCUUGGACACCUAGGCUUCCUGUGCUUUAUUCUCUUGUGAUGUCCACUGCUAGUUCUUCUGCAUCCGACCGCCAUUGCCUAACUCCAGCUUACCCACUUCCCCUUGUGCUCUUCCCCAGGUGUCAUCAGUAGGUUCUGGUGCUCGUCUCAAAGAAGCAUCCUCAUGACGGUUGGGUGUUCUACAAGUGCCACAUGAACAGAGUAAGCUCUUCUUCUUGAUCCCUUUCAGGUUUUGGUUACGCAUCCUGGCACGACAUUACUAAUUUUCUUCAUGGUUGCUUAUUUUCCCCAAUUACAGACUGGUUGUAAAUUCUAGCAUUGGGGCUACAGUGCGUGGAGUAUCUGAUUCAGCAUCGGUACCUUGUAGGUGAAGCUGCUGCUGAUGCACUACUGUACAUUAGAGCUAAAAGGGAAGGGUUGGAGCGAGGGAAAGUGGCAAAAGCAACCAUUGCUACAACCAGCAUCUGCAGCAAUGGCGCUGAUGAUGUCGGGCCAUUGAGGAUGACGAAUGCUUUGUUACUGAUAGCAAGAGAGAUGUUAUUCCUCAUGAAGUUAGGCCUUGCUCAGGGUUUGGUGCUCAGGGUUUGGUGCUAUGCUUUAUGAUGCUUUUUGUAAUGUUGAUGAAAUAAUAUCAUCAGUUGCAUUUGUACUCCUCGGUGUAUCAUUGUUUGCCAGCGAUUAAUCUACGGUGGCAUUUCUAUCAGUGUUGUAUCAGACGUUCGAAAGCUCCUUACGUAUUGCUAAUCUCGUUCUUGAAGUGAGCCUAAAUAAAAAAACGCUGAUGCGGAGCAUCCUAUGGUCAUCCCCAUGGACCUACCAUCAUCUCACCAAAUGCCAAGAGGACAG
Molecule: long non-coding RNA, 922 nt
Filed under: Triticum aestivum (bread wheat)
Lineage: Eukaryota; Viridiplantae; Streptophyta; Magnoliopsida; Poales; Poaceae
Description: long non-coding RNA (TAES_LNC012008)
Source: RNAcentral